RNAcentral lists this long non-coding RNA (839 nucleotides) under Homo sapiens (human). RNAcentral's name for it is "novel transcript, antisense to PPP1R3F". The record is from RNAcentral. Lineage: Eukaryota; Metazoa; Chordata; Mammalia; Primates; Hominidae.
CCAUGUUCUUCGUCUUCAGUUCCUCCUCGGCAGGCCUGCAGGGCAGAGGAGAGAGUACAUGGAUCUAAUAAUACCCUGAGAGGUCACUUCUGCCACCCACUGGCACCUUCUGAGCCUCUGUGCUAGCCCACCUUCACCUGACAGCUGCUGUUUUCUCUUCUGCUGCCUUUGUUUAUCCCCUCAUCCUAAAAGUCCUACAGCCUCAUUAUAGAAAAUUCGCAAAAUACAGGAAAGUCUAAAGAAGCAAGAAAAACAAUCACACAUCAGCCAGAGACAACUACUGUUACCAUUCUGGAAAAUUUCCUUCCAGAUAUUCUACGAAAUCAUUUAGAUUCUACAGACAUAAUUUCACAGCUAGCUUUGUCCAUUUAACAGUAAGAAACAUCAUUAUACACUUUUGCAAACAUUUCAAAUGGCUGCUUAAUACUCAUAUCAUACCAUUCCCUUCCUACUGAGCAGCUAAGUUCUUUCAUUUAGAGGUUGCAAAGCAAACCAGCAAACAGCAUUGGGCAUAGUUUUAUCGACACUUGUAUCAUUUCUUUAGGAUACAUUCCUGGCUAUGGAAAGAGAAAAGAUAGAAGAACCCAUCUUUUCGGCUGGGCGUGGUGGCUUACACCUGUAAUUCCAGCACUUUGGGAGGCCGAGGCAGGGAGACCACUUGAGGUUAGGAGUUCAAGACCAGCCUGGGCAACAUGAUGAAACCCUGUCUCUACUAAAAAUACAAAAAAUUAGCUGGGCAUGGCGGUGCACGCCCAUAGUCCCAACUACUUGGGAGGCCGAGGCAAUGUGACAUUCUUGAUACUUCUGACAAUGGUUGAAAAAUUUUUUUUUUUGAGAUG